This 627-nucleotide ribosomal RNA is filed under the name uncultured bacterium. RNAcentral's name for it is "bacterial SSU rRNA". The stretch from base 1 to 537 matches the Rfam family "Bacterial small subunit ribosomal RNA", at positions 338 to 873 of the family's 1533-position model. The record is from RNAcentral.
CCUACGGGAGGCAGCAGUGGGGAAUCUUGCGCAAUGGGCGAAAGCCUGACGCAGCAACGCCGCGUGCGGGAAGAAGGCUUUCGGGCUGUAAACCGCUUUCAGCAGGAACGAAAAUGACGGUACCUGCAGAAGAAGGAGCGGCCAACUAUGUGCCAGCAGCCGCGGUGAUACAUAGGCUUCAAGCGUUGUCCGGAUUUAUUGGGCGUAAAGAGUUCGUAGGCGGUCGAGUAAGUCGGGUGUGAAAAUUCUGGGCUCAACCCAGAGACGCCACCCGAUACUGCUUGACUUGAGUUCGAUAGGGGAGUGGGGAAUUCCUAGUGUAGCGGUGAAAUGCGCAGAUAUUAGGAGGAACACCGGUGGCGAAGGCGCCACUCUGGAUCGAUACUGACGCUGAGGAACGAAAGCAUGGGUAGCAAACAGGAUUAGAUACCCUGGUAGUCCAUGACGUAACGGUAGGGCGACGUAGGUGGUGGUAGUUACUACUUAACGUAACGUUACCGUCCGCCGUCCGUCGUAACGACUAUUAAGUCGCCCGUCCCGUCGGGUAGGUACGGUCGCGAGACGUAAACUACGAAAGGUAAGUAGUACGCGUUGUAGACGUUGCCGACGGCGACGACGAGGGAGAGG